This is a long non-coding RNA of Sebastes umbrosus (honeycomb rockfish), 708 nucleotides long. RefSeq lists it as uncharacterized. The record is from RefSeq and is a predicted model, not a curated record. The transcript is spliced from 3 exons. Lineage: Eukaryota; Metazoa; Chordata; Actinopteri; Perciformes; Sebastidae.
UAGACACAAGUUUAGUCUGCUUGGAAAAAAGUGUAUUAGUGUAGUAUAAUUAUGCUAAUUUGUAGACUACACCACCAGAGGUGUGGGUUUGCGUCCUGCAUUCGUUGUUUGGUUAAUGCUGCUAAGACAUAAGGCCUAGGUUGUGGUCAUUAAUAAAUGCACUUAACCAGUAACAUUACUGGCUGAAAGACGCUCCUUUUGGGAAAAUGGUGCAGAGCGUGGGGGAAAACAAAUUAAAUUCAUCAACAGUUAGCAUUUUGCCUUGGCGAGGAUGUUUAACAUUUCAUAGCUACCUAUAAACAUAUUUGAUAAUGCUGUAUGUUUUUAGGAGACAAGGUUGCCAUAGACAUCUAUACAGUAAAUCCUUGUCAACAAACAGUAGCUUUUGUUGUGCACAAUUAUAGAGAUGCAAAAGUAACUUCUUGUUGUCAUGUUUGGUGCAGCCUGCAGUCGUAAAAUCAAAGUAAUGUUAUGUUCCGCUGGUACAGUAUAGAGUGGUGUAGGGAUGGCGUAUUUUGGGAGGCCAACCAGGAAGUUAGCAUCGCCCUGGUUUCCUCGACAAAAAGCCAAUGGGAUUGUUCCACUGGGUUUUGGAUUACUGCAAAAAAUAAUCUCUGUGGCAAACAAACGUUAAUGAUAUUUAACCGUUUUGUUCACCAAGAUAUCUCCACAAAUGAUCGCCACUUGAAGUUAUGGUUUUUGAAGCGU